UACGUAGGGUGCAAGCGUUGUUCGGAAUCACUGGGCGUAAAGGGCGCGUAGGCGGAUCGAUCAGCUAGGGGUGAAAGCCCAGGGCUCAACCCUGGAAGUGCUUCUAGAACUGUCGGUCUGGAGAUGGUCAGGGGUUGGUAGAAUUCCAGGUGUAGAGGUGAAAUUCGUAGAUAUCUGGAGGAAUACCGGAGGCGAAAGCGGCCAACUGGGACCAUUCUGACGCUGAGGCGCGAAAGCAUGGGGAGCAAACAGG
RNAcentral lists this ribosomal RNA (253 nucleotides) under uncultured bacterium. RNAcentral's name for it is "partial 16S ribosomal RNA". It matches the Rfam family "Bacterial small subunit ribosomal RNA", at positions 524 to 776 of the family's 1533-position model. The record is from RNAcentral.